Nothobranchius furzeri (turquoise killifish) is the source of this 1758-nucleotide long non-coding RNA. Lineage: Eukaryota; Metazoa; Chordata; Actinopteri; Cyprinodontiformes; Nothobranchiidae. The record is from Ensembl.
AUGAAUCCAACAGAGCAAAUAAAGACUGAACUUAAGGAGAUGCUUUUACACGCUAAAAAUGAACAAUGGAUCUCACAAAAAGAACAUGACUUUCUACUGAAUGAGCACCCAAGAAUUCCUUCCUUCUACAUGCUCCCUAAAAUCCAUAAGAACUUGGAGAAUCCACCAGGCAGACCAAUAAUUAGUGGCAAUGAAUCAAUCACAGAACCAGCCUCACAGUUUGUAGAUUUUUUCAUUAAAACAUUUGUUUCUGAACUGCCUUCUUUUGUUCAAGACACUACUCAAGUACUGAACAAACUGAAUGAUAUAAGGAACAUAGGACCUGGACUUCUUGUUACUAUGGAUGUGGAGGCGCUAUACACUAACAUUGACCACACAGAAGGACUAGAAGCACUAACCUAUUACCUGGACCAAAGACAUUCAGAAGAUAUGCCUCCUUCUUCUUUCAUCCUUCAGCUGGCGAAGUGGACUCUAUGUAACAAUGUGUUUCUGUUUCAGAACCAAUUUUUUAGACAGAAAAAAGGUACAGCAAUGGGAGCAUGCUUUGCACCCAAUUACUCUAAUCUUUUUAUGGGACUUUGGGAAGAAACAUAUGUAUACUCUGAUCGUAAUGUCUAUGCUGAUAAGAUGAUGUGGUGGGGAAGAUACAUUGACGACAUUAUUCUGCUGUGGUCUGGUUCAGAAUCAGAACUACUUCAAUUCCAUUCAUAUCUUAACAAAACUAACAAAAGUUUGAAACUCAGCCUAGACUUCUCCUCAUCAGAAAUUAAUUUCCUAGAUAUAAAAAUCUCAAAAUCUGAUAAUGGAGAUUUACACACUUCUAUUUUUAGAAAACCUACUGACCGUAAUACAAUCCUCAGAGCAGACAGUUUCCAUCCAUCAUGGUUAAUAAACAACAUUCCCACUGGUCAGUUUCAAAGACUUAGACGUAUUUGUGACACAGAAGAAGAAUUUGAAAGAAAUGCUACAGUUAUGGGCCAGAGCUUUACAACAAGAGGAUACCAGCAAAGAACGAUACUCAAAGCGUAUAAUAAGACUAAAAGCCUGCCAAGAGAACAGCUAUUGGUACCUAAAGAGAAGAACCAACAAAGAUCAGAUGGUGUUUAUUUUGUGACCCAAUUCAGUGAUCAAGCCCACAAGAUCAAAAAAAUAAUUACAAAAAACUGGGACAUACUGAAAAGUGACAGUGUUCUUAGGGAAGCUCUCCCAGAUACUCCUACUAUCAGCUUCAGACGAGCCCCAACAUUAAAUGAUCAACUUGUUCAAAGUCACCUUCCUCCACAGCAACAAAAAACCUGGUUAUCAACUCGAAAAGGCAACUAUAAAUGUGGAAAUUGUGUUCACUGUGACAACAUGACUAACACUAACUGUUUUGCUGAUGUUUUCACAGGACGUACUUUUUACAUUAAUACAUUCAUCAACUGUAAUACUUCGUUCGUGGUCUACAGACUAGAAUGCCCGUGUGGUUGCUUCUAUAUUGGAAGAACUAAACGCAAGUUAAAAGCAAGACUUGCAGAGCACAAACAAGCAAUCAGAUCUGGUAAUCCUCUAUAUCCUAUGGCAGUGCAUUAUAAAGACACAAAUCAUGGAAGCUGUAACUCUCUUAAAAUCACAGGGAUUGAACAUAUAAAAAAUUCAAUUAGAGGAGGAGAUAGGCUUAAAAAACUCUUGCAAAGAGAAUCAUUUUGGAUUUACACACUAAAAGCUACUAAUUUCCCAGGUCUUAAUGGAGAAUUAGAUUUAGCUCCUUAUUUAUAA